CGCUGUCGGCGUGCUUAACACAUGCAAGUCGAACGGAAAGGCCCUGCUUUUGUGGGGUGCUCGAGUGGCGAACGGGUGAGUAACGCGUGAGUAACCUGCCCUUGACUUUGGGAUAACUUCAGGAAACUGGGGCUAAUACCGGAUAGGAGCUCCUGCUGCAUGGUGGGGGUUGGAAAGUUUCGGCGGUUGGGGAUGGACUCGCGGCUUAUCAGCUUGUUGGUGGGGUAGUGGCUUACCAAGGCUUUGACGGGUAGCCGGCCUGAGAGGGUGACCGGCCACAUUGGGACUGAGAUACGGCCCAGACUCCUACGGGAGGCAGCAGUGGGGAAUAUUGCACAAUGGGCGGAAGCCUGAUGCAGCAACGCCGCGUGCGGGAUGACGGCCUUCGGGUUGUAAACCGCUUUCGCCUGUGACGAAGCGUGAGUGACGGUAAUGGGUAAAGAAGCACCGGCUAACUACGUGCCAGCAGCCGCGGUGAUACGUAGGGUGCGAGCGUUGUCCGGAUUUAUUGGGCGUAAAGGGCUCGUAGGUGGUUGAUCGCGUCGGAAGUGUAAUCUUGGGGCUUAACCCUGAGCGUGCUUUCGAUACGGGUUGACUUGAGGAAGGUAGGGGAGAAUGGAAUUCCUGGUGGAGCGGUGGAAUGCGCAGAUAUCAGGAGGAACACCAGUGGCGAAGGCGGUUCUCUGGGCCUUUCCUGACGCUGAGGAGCGAAAGCGUGGGGAGCGAACAGGCUUAGAUACCCUGGUAGUCCACGCUGUAAACGGUGGGUACUAGGUGUGGGGUCCAUUCCACGGGUUCCGUGCCGUAGCUAACGCUUUAAGUACCCCGCCUGGGGAGUACGGCCGCAAGGCUAAAACUCAAAGGAAUUGACGGGGCCCCGCACAAGCGGCGGAGCAUGCGGAUUAAUUCGAUGCAACGCGUAGAACCUUACCUGGGUUUGACAUGGAUCGGGAGUGCUCAGAGAUGGGUGUGCCUCUUUUGGGGUCGGUUCACAGGUGGUGCAUGGCUGUCGUCAGCUCGUGUCGUGAGAUGUUGGGUUAAGUUCCGCAACGAGCGCAACCCUUGUUCACUGUUGCCAGCACGUUAUGGUGGGGACUCAGUGGAGACCGCCGGGGUCAACUCGGAGGAAGGUGGGGAUGACGUCAAGUCAUCAUGCCCCUUAUGUCCAGGGCUUCACGCAUGCUACAAUGGCUGGUACAGAGAGUGGCGAGCCUGUGAGGGUGAGCGAAUCUCGGAAAGCCGGUCCCAGUUCGGAUUGGGGUCUGCAACUCGACCUCAUGAAGUCGGAGUCGCUAGUAAUCGCAGAUCAGCAACGCUGCGGUGAAUACGUUCCCGGGGCUUGUACACACCGCCCGUCAAGUCAUGAAAGUUGGUAACACCCGAAGCCGGUGGCCUAACCGUUGUGGGGGAGCCGUCGAAGGUGGGACUGGUGAUUAGGA
Molecule: ribosomal RNA, 1439 nt
Filed under: uncultured organism
Description: partial small subunit ribosomal RNA
Rfam family: Bacterial small subunit ribosomal RNA
Source: RNAcentral